CGCGGCCUAUCAGCUUGUUGGUGGGGUAACGGCCUACCAAGGCAACGACGGGUAGCUGGUCUGAGAGGACGAUCAGCCACACUGGGACUGAGACACGGCCCAGACUCCUACGGGAGGCAGCAGUAGGGAAUCUUGCGCAAUGGGCGAAAGCCUGACGCAGCGGCGCCGCGUGCGGGAUGAAGGCCUUCGGGUCGUAAACCGCCUUCAGCAGGGACGAAAUUGACGGUACCUGCAGAAGAAGGCCCGGCCAACUACGUGCCAGCAGCCGCGGUGAUACGUAGGGGUCUAGCGUUGUCCGGAAUCAUUGGGCGUAAAGAGCUCGUAGGCGGUUCGGCAAGUCGGAUGUGAAAUCUCCACGCUCAACGUGGAGGGGCCAUUCGAAACUGCUGUGACUCGAGUCCGGUAGGGGAGUUCGGAAUUCCCGGUGUAGCGGUGAAAUGCGCAGAUAUCGGGAGGAACACCAGUGGCGAAGGCGGAACUCUGGGCCGGAACUGACGCUGAGGAGCGAAAGCGUGGGGAGCGAACAGGAUUAGAUACCCUGGUAGUCCACGCCGUAAACGUUGGGCACUAGGUGUGGGACUCUAUCGACGGGUUCCGUGCCGUAGCUAACGCAUUAAGUGCCCCGCCUGGGGAGUAC
RNAcentral lists this ribosomal RNA (637 nucleotides) under uncultured bacterium. Its description in RNAcentral is "bacterial SSU rRNA". It matches the Rfam family "Bacterial small subunit ribosomal RNA", at positions 232 to 883 of the family's 1533-position model. The record is from RNAcentral.